Small nucleolar RNA from Panicum hallii, 106 nucleotides. NCBI's taxonomy places the organism in Eukaryota, Viridiplantae, Streptophyta, Magnoliopsida, Poales, Poaceae. The record is from RefSeq and is a predicted model, not a curated record.
AUCCUGUGGUGAGGGCAAGUCAAGAUGUACUCUUGGAGCCUUUCCCACACUUCAGAAAUUGACUCAGCUGACGCCUGCAGGAAACAUAAAUCUUUUCAUGAAGGGU